This 253-nucleotide ribosomal RNA is filed under the name uncultured bacterium. RNAcentral's name for it is "partial 16S ribosomal RNA". It matches the Rfam family "Bacterial small subunit ribosomal RNA", at positions 524 to 776 of the family's 1533-position model. The record is from RNAcentral.
UACGUAGGGUGCAAGCGUUGUCCGGAAUUAUUGGGCGUAAAGAGCUCGUAGGCGGUCUGUCGCGUCGAAUGUGAAAAUCCGGGGCUCAACUCCGGACCUGCAUUCGAUACGGGCAGACUAGAGUUCGGUAGGGGGAGACUGGAAUUCCUGGUGUAGCGGUGAAUGCGCAGAUAUCAGGAGGAACACCGGUGGCGAAGGCGGGUCUCUGGGCCGAUACUGACGCUGAGGAGCGAAAGCGUGGGGAGCGAACAGG